AGCGAUAUGUACACUUUGUAAUACAUAUUCAUUUCUGCACAAACGACAGUUGAUUUCGCUUAGAAAUGAAAUAGCUGAUCAUACUUACUACAUGUAUUUGAAAUUUUGAUUGUAAUGUACUGUCAUGAUCCGAUGAUAGCCAAUUUCCACUAAAAGCGAUAGAAACAUGUUAAUGCAGUCAUUUAUAUUGCUUUACUUAUAGAGACGAAAGUAUAAAAGCAACUGACCUAUCUAAAGAUGAAUCUCAAAUAAAUUUGGCAGAGCAAAAUAUGCAGGGAGAAAGAAUUGUGUAUGAAGAAUUAAAAGAGAGAAAGACUGGAAAUCAAUACCAGGAUCUCUCCACUAAAGG
Molecule: long non-coding RNA, 349 nt
Organism: Ostrea edulis (European flat oyster)
Lineage: Eukaryota; Metazoa; Mollusca; Bivalvia; Ostreida; Ostreidae
Exons: 3
Source: RefSeq, a predicted model, not a curated record